UGCCAAACCCGGGAUCGAGGGACCUUUGAUCUUCAGUCUAACGCUCUCCCAUCUGAGCUAUUUCGGC
Molecule: non-coding RNA, 67 nt
Organism: Araneus ventricosus
Lineage: Eukaryota; Metazoa; Arthropoda; Arachnida; Araneae; Araneidae
Source: the annotation of a GenBank genome assembly